AAUCAACAAAGAGGAGCGAGACUGUGAAGUGGAGCAAACCCCAAAAAUAACGUCCCAGUUCGGAUUGUAGUCUGCAACCCGACUACAUGAAGCUGGAAUCGCUAGUAAUCGCGAAUCAGCAUGUCGCGGUGAAUACGUUCCCGGGUCUUGUACACACCGCCCGUCACACCAUGGGAGUUGGUAACGCCCGAAGUCAGUGACCUAACCGCAAGGGAGGAGCUGCCGAAGGUGGGGCCAGUAACUGGGGUGAAGUCGUAACAAGGUACC
RNAcentral lists this ribosomal RNA (267 nucleotides) under uncultured bacterium. Its description in RNAcentral is "partial 16S ribosomal RNA". It matches the Rfam family "Bacterial small subunit ribosomal RNA", at positions 1234 to 1500 of the family's 1533-position model. The record is from RNAcentral.